AACGAACGCUGGCGGCAUGCCUAACACAUGCAAGUCGAACGAAGCCUUCGGGCUUAGUGGCGCACGGGUGCGUAACGCGUGGGAAUCUGCCCUUGGGUUCGGAAUAACAGUUAGAAAUGACUGCUAAUACCGAAUGACGUCUUCGGACCAAAGAUUUAUCGCCCAAGGAUGAGCCCGCGUCGGAUUAGCUAGUUGGUGAGGUAAAGGCUCACCAAGGCGACGAUCCGUAGCUGGUCUGAGAGGAUGAUCAGCCACACUGGGACUGAGACACGGCCCAGACUCCUACGGGAGGCAGCAGUGGGGAAUAUUGGACAAUGGCGAAAGCCUGAUCCAGCAAUGCCGCGUGAGUGAUGAAGGCCUUAGGGUUGUAAAGCUCUUUACCCGGGAUGAUAAUGACAGUACCGGGAGAAUAAGCCCGGCUAACUACCGUGCCAGCAGCCGCGGU
RNAcentral lists this ribosomal RNA (445 nucleotides) under uncultured bacterium. RNAcentral's name for it is "bacterial SSU rRNA". It matches the Rfam family "Bacterial small subunit ribosomal RNA", at positions 29 to 521 of the family's 1533-position model. The record is from RNAcentral.